GACGAACGCUGGCGGCGUGCCUAAUACAUGCAAGUAGAACGCUGAAGGAGGAGCUUGCUUCUCCGGAUGAGUUGCGAACGGGUGAGUAACGCGUAGGUAACCUGCCUGGUAGCGGGGGAUAACUAUUGGAAACGAUAGCUAAUACCGCAUAACAGUAGAUGUUGCAUGACAUUUGCUUAAAAGGUGCAAUUGCAUCACUACCAGAUGGACCUGCGUUGUAUUAGCUAGUUGGUGAGGUAACGGCUCACCAAGGCGACGAUACAUAGCCGACCUGAGAGGGUGAUCGGCCACACUGGGACUGAGACACGGCCCAGACUCCUACGGGAGGCAGCAGUAGGGAAUCUUCGGCAAUGGACGGAAGUCUGACCGAGCAACGCCGCGUGAGUGAAGAAGGGUUUCGGAUCGUAAAGCUCUGUUGUAAGAGAAGAACGAGUGUGAGAGUGGAAAGUUCACACUGUGACGGUAUCUUACCAGAAAGAGACGGCUAACUACGUG
This 495-nucleotide ribosomal RNA is filed under the name uncultured bacterium. RNAcentral describes it as "partial 16S ribosomal RNA". It matches the Rfam family "Bacterial small subunit ribosomal RNA", at positions 28 to 507 of the family's 1533-position model. The record is from RNAcentral.